GUGGGGAAUUUUGGACAAUGGGCGCAAGCCUGAUCCAGCAAUGCCGCGUGUGUGAAGAAGGCCUUCGGGUUGUAAAGCACUUUUGUCCGGAAAGAAAUCUCCUGGGUUAAUACCUCGGGGGGAUGACGGUACCGGAAGAAUAAGCACCGGCUAACUACGUGCCAGCAGCCGCGGUAAUACGUAGGGUGCGAGCGUUAAUCGGAAUUACUGGGCGUAAAGCGUGCGCAGGCGGCUAUGCAAGACAGAUGUGAAAUCCCCGGGCUCAACCUGGGAACUGCAUUUAUGACUGCAUGGCUAGAGUGCGUCAGAGGGAGGUGGAAUUCCGCGUGUAGCAGUGAAAUGCGUAGAGAUGCGGAGGAACACCGAUGGCGAAGGCAGCCUCCUGGGAUGACACUGACGCUCAUGCACGAAAGCGUGGGGAGCAAACAGGAUUAGAAACCCUGGUAGUCC
RNAcentral lists this ribosomal RNA (450 nucleotides) under uncultured bacterium. RNAcentral describes it as "partial 16S ribosomal RNA". It matches the Rfam family "Bacterial small subunit ribosomal RNA", at positions 354 to 796 of the family's 1533-position model. The record is from RNAcentral.